RNAcentral lists this ribosomal RNA (414 nucleotides) under uncultured eukaryote. RNAcentral's name for it is "bacterial SSU rRNA". It matches the Rfam family "Eukaryotic small subunit ribosomal RNA", at positions 1233 to 1658 of the family's 1831-position model. The record is from RNAcentral.
GUAAGGAUUGACGGACUGAAGGCUCUUUCUCGAUUCCGUGGAAAGUGGUGCAUGGCCGUUUUUGGUUGGUGGAUCGAUCCGUCUGGUUAAUUCCGUUAACGAACGAGACCUCGGCACUCCGAAUAGCGCGGCGGACGUCGCGGCCUCCGGGCCGUCUUCCGCACGAGCUUCUUAGAGGGACCGUCCCCCGCCGGGGAAGGAGGUGCGAGGCAACGACAGGUCUGUGAUGCCCUUAGAUGUUCUGGGCCGCACGCGCAUUACACUGACGCGUCCAACGGGUGACUCCCGACCCGAAGGGGCCGGGGAAUCCGCAAGGCGCGUCGUGAUGGGGAUUGAACGUUGCAAUUGUUGUUCACGAACGAGGAAUUCCUAGUAGGCGCGGGUCAUCAACCCGCGCCGAUUACGUCCCUGCCC